Molecule: ribosomal RNA, 569 nt
Filed under: Nemipterus furcosus (fork-tail threadfin bream)
Lineage: Eukaryota; Metazoa; Chordata; Actinopteri; Spariformes; Nemipteridae
Description: partial 16S ribosomal RNA
Rfam family: Bacterial large subunit ribosomal RNA
Source: RNAcentral
GCCUGCCCGGUGACUCUAUGUUAAACGGCCGCGGUAUACUGACCGUGCCAAGGUAGCGCAAUCACUUGCCCUUUAAAUGGGGGCCCGUAUGAAAGGCGCCACGAGGGCUAAUCUGUCUCCUUCUUCCAGUCAAUGAAAUUGAUCUCCCCGUGCAGAAGCGGGGAUAAACACAUAAGACGAGAAGACCCUGUGGAGCUUUAGAUACUAAGACUGAUCCCCUCAACAUACUCUGACAAAAGUAUUUAAACAAGGAAUUCAGUCGGACUAUCUUUGGUUGGGGCGGCCGCGGGGACCAAAAUAACCCCCACGUGGACCGGGAAUCUCAGUUACACUCUAGUACUUUUUAUUCCUACAAUCAAGAGUCACCACUCUAAGCAACAGAACUUCUGACCAACAAUGAUCCGACAAAGUCGAUCAACGGACCAAGUUACCCCAGGGAUAACAGCGCAAUCCCCUCUAAGAGUCCUUAUCGACGAGGGGGUUUACGACCUCGAUGUUGGAUCAGGACAUCCCAUUGGCGUACAAGCUAUUAAGGGUUCGUUUGUUCAACGAUUAAAGUCCUACGUGAU